Molecule: ribosomal RNA, 1567 nt
Filed under: Pentaceraster mammillatus
Lineage: Eukaryota; Metazoa; Echinodermata; Asteroidea; Valvatida; Oreasteridae
Description: 16S ribosomal RNA
Rfam family: Bacterial large subunit ribosomal RNA
Source: RNAcentral
GUUAAUACUUGUCAAAAUAUUGGGAGGCAGGGUUUUAUUGGAGUACAAGUUUAAUGGAAACUUUGGUGUUAGGAGCUAUAGCGGAAGUACUGUGAAGGAAAGUUGAAAUAGAAGUGUGAUAUUUAAGUGUAGGGAAGAAAGAGUGGAAAACUGUACCUUUUGUAUAAUGGUUUAGUUAGUGUUUUGGUUUUAGGUGGUGCCAAGCCCGAAGUUGGGCGAGCUAAUGUAGCCCCGCUCGUGAGGAGUAGAACUGUUACUGUUGCAGAAGUAAGGUUCGAGGUUAUAUUAGGUGUGAAAUGCUAAUCGCGCCCAAGGAUAGCUGGUUUCCCCAGAAAGAGGUGUAAGCUGUAUUUUCGAAUUUGUUAAGGAGCUGUUGUCGGCAUGAGAAUCGUAGGCUCUUUGGCAACUCUUGGGAAAGGAAAACAAACGGGGAUAAGCUCGUUUGUUGAGAGGAAAAAGCUUUUUUUAUAGGUUAAGGAUAUCAGGCUAACGUUAAGUAACUUGCUGACUUAGUAGGAUUAAUAACAUCUAUCUAUUUGGAUUACGUUAAAGUUUGUUUUGUUUGUUGCUUAGCGAAUAAUUGGCGGGUAGAUCUCUUAGGUCGUAAUUCAUUUACGGGGAGGUUUCAUGUCUUGAAAGUUAUUUUGCUAAUAUUAGUAAAGGAUGAAAGACUUUUUGUGGCUUAAACAACCCUAACAUUGGAUGGAGGGGCUAACGAUGAUACGAGAAAUUGUAGCCCAGUUUUUGUCUUCUGACACAAGAGGUCUUUAGUAUUAUGAAGGCAAGGAAAAGGAACUCGGCAAGUCUUUAUUUCGCCUGUUUACCAAAAACAUCGCCCCUCGGAAAGCUGAGGCUAAUAUGUGAGGGGUCCUGCCUGCCCGGUGACUUAGUUAAACGGCCGCGGUAUCUUGACCGUGCAAAGGUAGCAUAAUCAUUUGCCUUUUAAAUGGAGGCUGGUAUGAAUGGCAAGACGGGAAUUAGACUGUCUCUUUCUUGUUUCUCUAAUUUAAUUUCUCCGUGAAGAAGCGGAGAUAUAGUCGUGGGACGAGAAGACCCUGUCGAGCUUUAAUAGACCCAGGCAGGCGAUUGGCGGUCAAAUUGCUGCUAAUUUGCCUAUUGUAGGAUAUUAGUUUUACGAAGCAGGGGGCUGCGUCUUGUAUGGGCUGUUUUGGUUGGGGCAACCGCGGAGAAGAGCUAUCCUCCGCUAAGUUGACUAGGAAAGAUUACAAUCUUCUUGUGCGAUUUUCGCUUUCUGUGAUCCGUCAUAAACUGACGAUCAAAGGAAUAAGUUACCGCAGGGAUAACAGCGUUAUUUCCUUGGAGAGUUCAUAUUGAUAAGGGAGUUUGCGACCUCGAUGUUGGAUCGGGAUUUCCUGGGGGUGCAGCAGCUCCUAAGGGUUGGUCUGUUCGACCAUUAAAAUCCUACGUGAUCUGAGUUCAGACCGGCGGGAGCCAGGUCAGUUUCUAUCUGCGAUUAUUUUAUUCAGCUGUCUUUAGUACGAAAGGAUUAAGGGGGCGACACCUAUGCUAUUAAGUAUGUGUUUCAAAGUUGUCCUGAAUAGGAAUA